Lycium ferocissimum is the source of this 632-nucleotide long non-coding RNA. RefSeq lists it as uncharacterized. The record is from RefSeq and is a predicted model, not a curated record. Lineage: Eukaryota; Viridiplantae; Streptophyta; Magnoliopsida; Solanales; Solanaceae. The transcript is spliced from 2 exons.
CCUGUGUAGCUGGUAAUAAAGAUUUCUGAAUAUUUGUGGUAUCUAAACUAGUUUUGAACCCUUUUGCAAUGCCUAGGUUACAUUCUCAUAUCAUUGAUAUUAAUUCAUCUUGGCGACUCUUCACUAGUGCUCGUUCUCGUCACUAUAUUCAUCUUCCAAUCUAAAGUGCAUAGGGUAAAAGGGAGCUGACCGUUGUCGAAGGAAAUCAAUUAUGAAGCUUUGACAAGUUUUUUUGAAUUUCGUCUGUUUGGAAACUUGAACUCUCAACGACGUUCUUGCUUUUCUGGUGAAACUCAACCUUGAUGAUGUUGUCUCUGUUUAAUGAACUGUGUGGCUGUCCUUACAAUUUUUGUGGCCAUCUAUAGUGCCCUAUGCUGUAGUGAGGGUGCUUGCACCUCUGUAAUUAGUCUUUAACUACCUCUGGCUAAAGUGGAUGCUUUUAUGCCGUUCUUUGUUUUUACGCCAUAUGUGACAGCUUAUGUUUUCUGUACUGUGCUAUUUUCUGCUAUAUGACAGAUUUGGCAUUAAUUAGCCUCAAACUAAUACUAAUCCUCAAUCCCAAACUGGUUUACGUCGGCUCUAUAUAUUCUCAAUCCCAAGUUAGUGGAUUGUAUGGGUUUGCAUUUUUUCAA